RNAcentral lists this ribosomal RNA (407 nucleotides) under Intrasporangiaceae bacterium Ellin7071. RNAcentral describes it as "bacterial SSU rRNA". It matches the Rfam family "Bacterial small subunit ribosomal RNA", at positions 28 to 433 of the family's 1533-position model. Lineage: Bacteria; Bacillati; Actinomycetota; Actinomycetes; Micrococcales; Intrasporangiaceae. The record is from RNAcentral.
GACGAACGCUGGCGGCGUGCUUAACACAUGCAAGUCGAACGGUGAUCAGGGAGCUUGCUCCUUGUGAUCAGUGGCGAACGGGUGAGUAACACGUGAGUAACCUGCCCCAGACUCUGGGAUAACCCCGGGAAACCGGAGCUAAUACCGGAUAUGACACCAACGGGCAUCCGUAUGGUGUGGAAAGUUUUUCGGUCUGGGAUGGGCUCGCGGCCUAUCAGCUUGUUGGUGAGGUAGUGGCUCACCAAGGCGACGACGGGUAGCCGGCCUGAGAGGGCGACCGGCCACACUGGGACUGAGACACGGCCCAGACUCCUACGGGAGGCAGCAGUGGGGAAUAUUGCACAAUGGGCGAAAGCCUGAUGCAGCGACGCCGCGUGAGGGAUGACGGCCUUCGGGUUGUAAACCUC